CCGAGUUAUCAACUCCCAAACCCCUGUGAACAUACCUGAACGUUGCUUCGGCGGGACCGCCCCGGCGCCCUCAUCGGCCCGGAACCAGGCGCCCGCCGGAGGACCCAAAGCUCUUGUAUUAUAGUGGCAUAUUCUGAGUCUCACAAGAAAAUGAAUC
Molecule: small RNA, 157 nt
Filed under: Tolypocladium geodes
Lineage: Eukaryota; Fungi; Ascomycota; Sordariomycetes; Hypocreales; Ophiocordycipitaceae
Description: ribosomal RNA
Source: RNAcentral